Molecule: ribosomal RNA, 497 nt
Filed under: uncultured bacterium
Lineage: Bacteria
Description: partial 16S ribosomal RNA
Rfam family: Bacterial small subunit ribosomal RNA
Source: RNAcentral
GAUGAACGCUGGCGGCGUGCCUAAUACAUGCAAGUCGAGCGAACAGACGAGGAGCUUGCUCCUCUGACGUUAGCGGCGGACGGGUGAGUAACACGUGGAUAACCUACCUAUAAGACUGGGAUAACUUCGGGAAACCGGAGCUAAUACCGGAUAACAUGUUGAACCGCAUGGUUCAACAGUGAAAGACGGUUUUGCUGUCACUUAUAGAUGGAUCCGCGUCGCAUUAGCUAGUUGGUAAGGUAACGGCUUACCAAGGCAACGAUGCGUAGCCGACCUGAGAGGGUGAUCGGCCACACUGGAACUGAGACACGGUCCAGACUCCUACGGGAGGCAGCAGUAGGGAAUCUUCCGCAAUGGGCGAAAGUCUGACGGAGCAACGCCGCGUGAGUGAAGAAGGUCUUCGGAUCGUAAAACUCUGUUAUUAGGGAAGAACAAAUGUGUAAGUAACUAUGCACGUCUUGACGGUACCUAAUCAGAAAGCCACGGCUAACUACGUG